RNAcentral lists this small RNA (189 nucleotides) under Intrasporangium chromatireducens Q5-1. RNAcentral describes it as "Intrasporangium sp. Q5-1 c-di-AMP riboswitch aptamer (ydaO/yuaA leader)". The stretch from base 20 to 189 matches the Rfam family "c-di-AMP riboswitch aptamer (ydaO/yuaA leader)". From Rfam's summary of the family: This family represents a conserved RNA structure found upstream of the ydaO and yuaA genes in Bacillus subtilis and related genes in other bacteria. The ydaO/yuaA element is thought to act as a genetic "off" switch for the ydaO and yuaA genes in its native state. RNAcentral also lists the same sequence under 1 other name. The record is from Rfam by way of RNAcentral. Lineage: Bacteria; Bacillati; Actinomycetota; Actinomycetes; Micrococcales; Intrasporangiaceae.
CCAAUCCUGCCGCCGGCCCGAGGCUCGAAGACUGUGCAUGGCAGGAGCGGGGGAACCACGUUUCCCGGGCGUCGUGAGACGCCCUAGGGGUGAAGUCCUCGAGCGCGACCACGGCCGCGAACGGGGGCCGGGCAAGUACCUCCCAGCCCGAACCCGACAGCUCACUCCGCAGGCGUAUGGAGAGGUACU